ACGGAAAGGAAGUCCAAGUUGUCAGAUUCUCUUGUUGAAAGAUUUGUUCAAUAAGAAUGUUGUCAUGUGUUGAAAGCUUUUCAACAAAACUUUUUUGUUGUACCAUGGCAUAUCGGCAAAAAGUAUUACACGUUCAAAGAUUUCAAUCUCCUUGGCCACCGUUGGCGACAUAGUGAACCAAAUGGGAAACCCGUAGAUGAGGACCGAUCUGAUUGCAACUUUAUAAAUUAGAAGUUUUGUCCUUAUUGAUGGUAGGUGGAAGAAUAUCACAGGAUGCAGCUUCAAGGUCUCUACGAAAUAAGUCCCAAUUGGUGUUUUUGUAAGAUGUUAUUACUGACGGAUUUCUAAGAUGUAGAUUUCCUGAUCCGAAUUCCAGUUUUAAAUUCAGUGGAAAAUGAUCUGAAAAAGUUGGAAGACUUUUGACUUGAUAAUUAGGAUGUAGACUGUCUAUUAUGUUCGUGCUUAAUAAUAAGUGGUCAAGGUAGGACGAACCAUUGGGAUAGGAAGGGGAUACAUCGCAAACUCGUUUCACGUCUAAACAAUUACCUUGUAA
Long non-coding RNA from Calliphora vicina (urban bluebottle blowfly), 553 nucleotides. RefSeq lists it as uncharacterized. The record is from RefSeq and is a predicted model, not a curated record. The transcript is spliced from 3 exons. NCBI's taxonomy places the organism in Eukaryota, Metazoa, Arthropoda, Insecta, Diptera, Calliphoridae.